ACGGUAUGUUUCAGUUUCUAGUUGCAUUUCAGGUUGAACUACUGCUAUGUUGAAGAGUGCAAUCACAAAUAUUUUGGUCUUUCAGGAGAAGACAACGUUUUAGGAGAACAUGAUGCAGUUGUUCCUUUUUGAUCUUCAAAUUGAUUCUAUGUACAUAUCUUGCUGCUUUGCAGUGCCCCAGCUAUGACUGCCAACAUAAACCAACUCCUGGAGAUAAGCAUGGAUAAAGCCGUGCUUGAUGUGGCAACACCCAAUCCUCCAGGUGAGGACAUACAAGAAACUCCAGAACAACAAAAAGUUUCAGGACAACUUCAGAUUUGGAGAAUUUCCAAAACCACAUACUCAUGUAUGCAGGAAAGCGGUUUGCCUACAGCCCCCCUGUUUACAAAACCCAGACAUUGCUUGCAGCAAACGAUUACAACUAUCACAACCACCGCAUUCCUGCACGUGGCAAGGAUGGACACCGAAUGUACAGACAGUACUUCAACAAGAAGUCCGAGCGCUGGAGUGUAUAUGUGUUGAAGGAGAGCAAAGGCUACCAUUACAUUCCAGACCUGCAGAAGGCC
Molecule: long non-coding RNA, 566 nt
Organism: Clupea harengus (Atlantic herring)
Lineage: Eukaryota; Metazoa; Chordata; Actinopteri; Clupeiformes; Clupeidae
Source: Ensembl